GAGUUUGAUCCUGGCUCAGAGCGAACGCUGGCGGCAUGCUUAACACAUGCAAGUCGCACGGUAUGGGGGCAACUCCAUGCAGUGGCGGACGGGUGAGUAACGCGUAGGAAUCUAUCCUUGGAUGGGGGACAACCGUGGGAAACUACGGCUAAUACCGCAUGAUGCCUGAGGGCCAAAGCUCGCGAGAGCGUCUGGGGAGGAGCCUGCGUCUGAUUAGGUAGUUGGUGGGGUAAAGGCCUACCAAGCCUGCGAUCAGUAGCUGGUCUGAGAGGAUGAUCAGCCACAUUGGGACUGAGACACGGCCCAAACUCCUACGGGAGGCAGCAGUGGGGAAUAUUGGACAAUGGGGGCAACCCUGAUCCAGCAAUGCCGCGUGGGUGAGGAAGGUUUUCGGAUUGUAAAGCCCUUUUGGCGGGGACGAUGAUGACGGUACCCGCAGAAUAAGCUCCGGCUAACUUCGUGCCAGCAGCCGCGGUAAUACGAAGGGGGCUAGCGUUGCUCGGAAUGACUGGGCGUAAAGGGCGCGUAGGCGGCUUGCAUAGUUAGGCGUGAAAUUCCUGGGCUCAACCUGGGGACUGCGUCUAAUACAUGCAGGCUUGAGUGUGAAAGAGGGUCGUGGAAUUUCCAGUGUAGAGGUGAAAUUCGUAGAUAUUGGAAAGAACACCGGUGGCGAAGGCGGCGACCUGGUUCAUUACUGACG
This 700-nucleotide ribosomal RNA is filed under the name uncultured bacterium. RNAcentral describes it as "bacterial SSU rRNA". It matches the Rfam family "Bacterial small subunit ribosomal RNA", at positions 9 to 745 of the family's 1533-position model. The record is from RNAcentral.